UACAGAGGUGCCAAGCGUUAGGCGGAAUCACUGGGCUUAAAGCGCGCGUAGGCGGAUGUUUAAGUGUCUUGUGAAAUCCCACGGCUCAACCGUGGAACUGCUGGGCAUACUGGACAUCUCGAGGCACUCAGGGGCGAGCGGAACAAGUGGUGGAGCGGUGAAAUGCGUAGAUAUCAAGAGGAACACCUGAGGUGAAGACGGGUUGCUGGGCUGACACUGACGCUGAGGCGCGAAAGCCAGGGGAGCAAACGGG
This 253-nucleotide ribosomal RNA is filed under the name uncultured bacterium. RNAcentral describes it as "partial 16S ribosomal RNA". It matches the Rfam family "Bacterial small subunit ribosomal RNA", at positions 524 to 776 of the family's 1533-position model. The record is from RNAcentral.